UUCUUAUCUCCGUAACUGUAACACAUCUGAUUUACAUACAAUAGUUGCGGCCCAGUAACACUGUCCGCAGUUCGUAAGGUAUCGAGAUAUUUAUCCUUAGUACUUUCUGUUGUGUACUUUCGGUUGUGUUUGCUCUGUCACACUGCCACCAGCGGUCCUCGUGUGCCCUAUCACUGUGUUGGGUCAUAGUGUUUUGUCUGUGUGGCCGCCAGGAGCGUCAAAUGCAGUCGGCGCUACGGCUGGCCGUGUCAGCGACCCACCUGCUCGGCCACGGCCAACAGGCAGCCGGCUCCGACGUCAAGUAGGCGCUACGGUUCCUGACGCCAGCAGGAGCACUUGACCAGCAGCUCACCGCCACCGCACAGGACCUGGCACAGCUCGGCACAGGCAUGCACAUUGACCCAGCAGUGGUGCAAGAAUGCGAAUGGCAAGCUCUGCACUGAUUCCUCCGUUUUUAGCAUUAGUGUUUCGCGUAACUUUCCGUUAAACGGACGGGGCCGCCGCCGGCCCCGGCCGCCGCCGUGCGAGUCGGCCGCCGCGCCGCUACGGACGACUGGCACACGCCACAAGUGUGAUGGAUUUUCGGCCAACGCGGCGACACCGGCGUAGCGUUCAAUUGGCCGCGCUGCCCUGACGCUCCGGUGACGGACAGGUGGACCGAGGGCGCCGCCCGCCCAUCCCUCCGGACCAGGCCAGGCCGGCCGAUCUGAGGGAGGUAGGGAGGAGCCGCGUGGCUGGCCGAAUGGACGGCCGCGCCGGGCCAUUGUCACUGAUUGUUGGCCAUUGUCACUGAUUGUUCAUUGCCGCACCGAGGUCCGGCGAUGUCACCGGAAUGCCGCCACUGGUUUGAGUUUCCGCGAAACCGGCUUGCCCAGAGAUGUUUGUCACUGGCAUUGCUAUGUGCUAUUUGUGAUGUUCAUAUAUACCAUUCCCGUUACGGAGUACAUAUCUUGUUUUGAACGUUAAGUUCCGAUAUACGAACUGGCCGUCUGAAAAAGAGCCGCACGUGCACGAUGCUUGUAGAUAUUCCUGACGACCACGAACCGACCACGAAUCAGAACUGCGCCUCUCGUAAUGGGAGUGCGAGUAGUUGUUGCGAGUUAGAGCUCCUUGGCGAGUGGCUGACUCUGAACUGACUGACUAAACACCGGUUAGCUGUUUCACCAGCAGUCCCAGUGGAGGGAAGUAGGCCCAGGCGAGCAGGGUGUCGCAGCGUAAGUCCGACGAUGGCGGCGCAGUAGUCGAAUGGCGUCCACAUUUAGCCGACGAAGGCUGCGCUGAGCGCCAUACCCGCCUCACCUUAUCUCCGAGUCACGUGUUCAUGACUGACACGGGCAACCAUACGGCCCGUCGUUGCCCACGCGCACCCCAGACGGGGCCGCCAGUCGCGGCCCCGGACACGUCAGUCCCCAGAUCUGCAGUGAUGUCGCCCGGCUCUGACGAUGGCGCACAGCCGCCGUGUCCGCGGUCUCCGUCGCCGCCGCGGUAUGCGGCGCUGGGCGGCGACUCGUACAUGUCGCGGUCUCGCCAUUGGGGGCCGAACGAUUCGCGGCUCCCGCCGACCCCGCCGGCGACGAGUUUCCUCCGGCGAGUCCUGCGCCGUCUGGCGUGGUCGACGCUGCCCGGGAGGUUCCUGGCUGGCAAGCUGCUGCUGUGUCUACCGACGCACAGAGUUUUGUCGUGGCUGUGCUGUCCGCGGCCGUGCUCCACGGUUGCGACGUCUGCGGCCAAGCUGCCCGCUGCUGAGCUCCGCGGCCGAGCUGCCAGCGGCCGUGCUCUGCGGCCGUGCUCUGCGGUCGUGCUCUGCGGCCGUGCUUCCCGUGGCUGGGCCCUCCGUGGUCCCGUGAUCGUGGCCGCGGCGAGGGUGCCGCGACCUGCGCGAUGCCGUGCGCUGCAGUGAUGGCGCCGCGCACUGUGCAGUGAUUUUGCCGAGCGCUGCGUACGCGGUGGGUGCCGCGCGCCGCGCUGUUGAGCGUGCCGUAUUCGGACGGUGGCUGCCGCGCGCAGCGUGGUGAUUGCUGCGCUCUGCCAUGAGUGCCGCUCACUGCCGUGGCCUGAGUGCCGCGCUCGGACGGAGUGCCACGCGCCGUUGUGUUGCGUCGCCUUCUGCCUUUUGAUAUGUGCUAUCUCCGAAUUUAAUGUUGCUUGUUGCCGAUGUUCGCUUCUUUUCGUUAAGAGGGUCGGGUAUAGUCGGUCGAUUUAUUCGCACCGUUUGAUUUCGUACCGGCUUCUCUUCUGUUUCUUAUUGUUUUCUGCGAUGUCACUUGUCCGAUUUUAUAUCUGAUUAAUUCACGUCACUUAAGUAUUUAUUUUAUAUUGUCAUAAUAACUUACGGCGCUGUUCCUUUAUUUUCUGUUUAGUUGCAGCCCUAGUACCUUAAUUUCCGAUGUCUCUUCGGUUUGUUGUCGCUCGCAUGUUCAGAGAGUCCUGGUUGGCCGGCGCGAGCGGCGGUUGUGGAAUACAAGCUCGUCUGUGAA
RNAcentral lists this long non-coding RNA (2477 nucleotides) under Amphibalanus amphitrite. RNAcentral describes it as "uncharacterized LOC122365681". The record is from RNAcentral. Lineage: Eukaryota; Metazoa; Arthropoda; Thecostraca; Balanomorpha; Balanidae.